AUCUCAAGGGGCACUUCCACAGGGGAGCCCUCCUGGAUUUCCUGAUGAUCCCUUGCCACACACCCCCCGCCCCCGCCAACCCCGGGGAUUACAGCCGUCACCACGGUUGGAACUCUGGUCUGCUUGAGGGGUCAUCUGAAGGCUAGUGGAGGAUUCAGGCAGCCAGCUCCGAGGAGCAAGGAGGCCAUCUCCUCUGUUCACCGUGGCAACCACAGUGUGGAUCCCAGUAGGGCACACGGGCUCAGUGAAUGAACGGAACGAAAGGCCCAGCGCCAUGUCCGCUGAGCUCACCGAGCACUCGCUGUGGGCACAUGGAGUUACAGCGGAGGCAGGCUGGUGGGUGGCCCAGCGCGGGACACCUGCUGUAUGAGCACGGGCUAGGCACGUGAGGUGACGCCGCGUCACAGACAUCCCCGGAUGGCAGUGCUGUUGUACCGGAAGCAGAGGUUUCCUUCUGGCUCGCACUCCGCGUUCGUCAUGGGCUGACCAUGACGUUGAGACCCGGGCCAUCUGCCUUUCAGAGGAACUGAGGGUGUCAGGCUGGCGAAGAGGCCGCCGUCUUGAACGUCACCCCAGAAGGAAAGCCCCCUGGCCUCCCCCCGAAUUCCCCAGCGCUUGAGAUGAGGCCCCGGAUGCUGCCUGUGUUCUUUGGGGAGACCAUUGAGGUGCACCCAGAGCCCACGCACGAGAUCCGCAGAAGCAGGACUCACCCCGGAGCCUUCGCGCCAGGUGCCAAGGGGAGGCAUCAAAGCUCUCGGAACGUCCGUCGUCACCUGUGCAAGGAGGGUCCCCGCUCAGCUGUCGGCUUAGAGACAGACCAUGUGGUGCUGCCACACGGGCCGCAGGGCUCCCCUUGCGUCUGAUGCCAGGACAAGCCAGGGGCCACGGGCUGGUGCCGCCCCGGACUGGUGCCCUAAGAGCCCCCAGUGCGGCCUGAACGGACCCAGCAGGUAGGGGGCUGCCCCGCCGCUCCCUUCGUCAUCCCCCACGACGGGGCGGGAUAGAAAGGCUCUGGGACUUUAGCCCCACGUGGGGCAGGAGAAGCAACUGCGAGCUCACGCCCAAGAGAGGCAAAGUGCCUGAUAUAUUUUUAUAAAGCUGCACAGACAGUGCGUGUUCGCCACGGUCCGGUUAACAAAGAAAUAACUUAAGAAUUUGAGUAUCUUAAUAAAAUGUGCAAACCCGAAGAGGCUCCCUCCUCU
Molecule: long non-coding RNA, 1202 nt
Filed under: Ursus maritimus (polar bear)
Lineage: Eukaryota; Metazoa; Chordata; Mammalia; Carnivora; Ursidae
Description: lncRNA (ENSUMAG00000002924.1)
Source: RNAcentral